RNAcentral lists this ribosomal RNA (233 nucleotides) under uncultured bacterium. RNAcentral's name for it is "partial 16S ribosomal RNA". It matches the Rfam family "Bacterial small subunit ribosomal RNA", at positions 524 to 757 of the family's 1533-position model. The record is from RNAcentral.
UACGUAGGGGGCAAGCGUUGUCCGGAUUUAUUGGGCGUAAAGAGCGUGUAGGCGGCUUCACAGGUCCGCUGUGAAAACUCGAGGCUCAACCUCGAGCUGUCGGUGGAAACCGUGUGGCUAGAGUCCGGAAGAGGAGAGUGGAAUUCCCGGUGUAGAGGUGAAAUUCGUAGAUAUUCGCAAGAACACCAGUGGCGAAGGCGGCUCACUGGCCCGGAACUGACGCUGAGGACGAA